CACACACACGCCCACUCCAUUUCCAAACAGUGACUCACCCUAGCCCUGCUGCUGUUCGAAGGCUGGGCUAGAAAAACCGGUUAAGACCUCUAAAGGAAGGGAAAAGACAAAACCAAGGGAGAGAAACUUUGAAACCAGCUGGAACUUUCUGUCCAAAACCAACGUGACCUGGAACUUUCUGUCCAAAACCAAGGUGACCUGUUUUCUUUCCCAACCAGUCCCAAGUUCUCCGGAGAGCAUACAAAUUGUCCUGAUGAUUUUUUGUAUCAUCACAACAACUUUGUGAGGGUGCUGCAAAAGUCUCUGUAGACUCCCAAAGGUACUUUCUGGUAUUUUCUUAUAUUUAUGUUCUUUGCAACUUAUAUUUAUGUUCUUUGCAA
Molecule: long non-coding RNA, 380 nt
Organism: Hemicordylus capensis (graceful crag lizard)
Lineage: Eukaryota; Metazoa; Chordata; Lepidosauria; Squamata; Cordylidae
Exons: 3
Source: RefSeq, a predicted model, not a curated record